RNAcentral lists this ribosomal RNA (802 nucleotides) under Streptomyces sp. VC-YC6679. RNAcentral describes it as "bacterial SSU rRNA". It matches the Rfam family "Bacterial small subunit ribosomal RNA", at positions 123 to 908 of the family's 1533-position model. The record is from RNAcentral. Lineage: Bacteria; Bacillati; Actinomycetota; Actinomycetes; Kitasatosporales; Streptomycetaceae.
AGUUUUUUUAACUGCGGCUCAGCAAUCUCGCCCCUCAGCUCAGGGACAAGCCCUUGUUAUUCGGGUUUCUAAAACCGGAUAACACUCUGUCCCGCAUGGGACGGGGUUAAAAGCUCCGGCGGUGAAGGAUGAGCCCGCGGCCUAUCAGCUUGUUGGUGGGGUAAUGACCUACCAAGGCGACGACGGGUAGCCGGCCUGAGAGGGCGACCGGCCACAAUGGGACUGAGACACGGCCCAGACUCCUACGGGAGGCAGCAGUGGGGAAUAUUGCACAAUGGGCGAAAGCCUGAUGCAGCGACGCCGCGUGAGGGAUGACGGCCUUCGGGUUGUAAACCUCUUUCAGCAGGGAAGAAGCGAAAGUGACGGUACCUGCAGAAGAAGCGCCGGCUAACUACGUGCCAGCAGCCGCGGUAAUACGUAGGGCGCAAGCGUUGUCCGGAAUUAUUGGGCGUAAAGAGCUCGUAGGCGGCUUGUCACGUCGGAUGUGAAAAGCCCGGGGCUUAACCCCGGGUCUGCAUUCGAUACGGGCUAGCUAGAGUGUGGUAGGGGAGAUCGGAAUUCCUGGUGUAGCGGUGAAAUGCGCAGAUAUCAGGAGGAACACCGGUGGCGAAGGCGGAUCUCUGGGCCAUUACUGACGCUGAGGAGCGAAAGCGUGGGGAGCGAACAGGAUUAGAUACCCUGGUAGUCCACGCCGUAAACGUUGGGAACUAGGUGUUGGCGACAUUCCACGUCGUCGGUGCCGCAGCUAACGCAUUAAGUUCCCCGCCUGGGGAGUACGGCCGCAAGGCUAAAACUCAAAGGA